AGAAGCAAUAAUGUUAAUAUGAGUAACAAGAAGGCUCUUCUCCCUGC
RNAcentral lists this transfer RNA (47 nucleotides) under Myotis evotis (long-eared Myotis). RNAcentral's name for it is "partial tRNA-Val". The record is from RNAcentral. Lineage: Eukaryota; Metazoa; Chordata; Mammalia; Chiroptera; Vespertilionidae.